UACGUAGGGCGCAAGCGUUGUCCGGAAUUAUUGGGCGUAAAGAGCUCGUAGGUGGCGUGUCGCGUCUGCCGUGAAAGCCCAUGGCUUAACUGUGGGUCUGCGGUGGAUACGGGCAGGCUGGAGGCUGGUAGGGGCAAGCGGAAUUCCUGGUGUAGCGGUGAAAUGCGCAGAUAUCAGGAGGAACACCGGUGGCGAAGGCGGCUUACUGGGCCAGUUCUGACGCUGAGGAGCGAAAGCGUGGGGAGCGAACAGG
RNAcentral lists this ribosomal RNA (253 nucleotides) under uncultured bacterium. RNAcentral describes it as "partial 16S ribosomal RNA". It matches the Rfam family "Bacterial small subunit ribosomal RNA", at positions 524 to 776 of the family's 1533-position model. The record is from RNAcentral.